UAGAUUCCGGGCGCGGAGAGCGGAGGUUGCUGCUGGAAGAACCUGUCGAGCGAGAGAGAAACUGACGAUAAACAAACCUGGAUUCCAAGCAACCUCCCAGGCUUUUAACUCUUUCUGCACGGGGAGGUAGCAUGCGUAUCCUGAGGUGCGGUUCUGUCAGGCUGCUGCUAAUGAAAGGCGAGCAGCCACAACUCCCGACAAAUAACGCUCGUUGGUCAUUUCAGUCCAAACUUCAAAGCGGAGCCGUUCCAAACGUCCCAGAUGGUUUGGAAUCCAGCAGUUUGUAAAAUUCCCAAACCGGAAUUCAGGGAUUUGCAACUCUGGGUUGGACGCCACCAGGUUGAGAAGGCUGCUGUAAGAGAUCUAAAGCUACCUUCUUGUACACUUCUUUGGAAUGUAUAAUUUAUUUAUUUGAAUAAGUAAAACGUGAAGAGAUCUUGCUCUCAACUUUACAA
Non-coding RNA from Pantherophis guttatus, 455 nucleotides. Lineage: Eukaryota; Metazoa; Chordata; Lepidosauria; Squamata; Colubridae. The record is from RefSeq and is a predicted model, not a curated record.